GUCCACGCUGUAAACGAUGACGACUAGGUGUGGGGUGGUUCAGUCCCUUCCGUGCCGCAGCUAACGCAUUAAGUCGUCCGCCUGGGGAGUACGGCCGCAAGGUUGAAACUCAAAGGAAUUGACGGGGGCCCCGCACAAGCGGUGGAGCAUGUGGUUCAAUUCGAUGCAGAGCGAAGAACCUUACCUGGGCUUGACAUGCAGGAAGUAGAAACCGGAAACGGCGACGACCUGUUAAGUCAGGAACCUGCACAGGUGGUGCAUGGCUGUCGU
Molecule: ribosomal RNA, 270 nt
Filed under: uncultured bacterium
Lineage: Bacteria
Description: partial 16S ribosomal RNA
Rfam family: Bacterial small subunit ribosomal RNA
Source: RNAcentral